GAUGAACGCUGGCGGCGUGCUUAACACAUGCAAGUCGAACGAUGAGGCCCUGCUUGUUGGGUGGGCUCGUGGGGAGAGGGUGUGUAUAACGCGAGUAUACUGUGCUUUACUCUGUGGUAUGACUGGGGAAAAGGGUCUAUUAUCGGAGAGGAGCGUUCAUGGCACGGUGGGUGUUGGAGAGAUUUAGCGGUUUUGGAUGGACUCGCGGCGUAUCAGCUUGUUGGUGUGGUAGUGGCUCACCAAGGCGACGACGGGUAGCCGGCCUGAGAGGGUGACCGGCCACACUGGGACUGAGAUACGGCCCAGACUCCUACGGGAGGCAGCAGUGGGGAAUAUUGCACAAUGGGCGCAAGCCUGAUGCAGCAACGCCGCGUGAGGGAUGACGGCCUUCGGGUUGUAAACCGCUUUCGGUAGUGAAGAAGCGAGAGUGACGGUACCUGCAAAAGAAGCACCGGCUAACUACGUG
This 466-nucleotide ribosomal RNA is filed under the name uncultured bacterium. Its description in RNAcentral is "partial 16S ribosomal RNA". It matches the Rfam family "Bacterial small subunit ribosomal RNA", at positions 28 to 507 of the family's 1533-position model. The record is from RNAcentral.